UCAAUUUUCUCUCUGGGCAAACCCAGAAUCCGGCCAUCCUCCGAUCACUGGCGCCGUUGCCCACGGUAGCCUGAAGGUCAAUCUUUGCCUCUUUUAUAUAUAUAUAUUUGAUAUAUAUAUAGUUUUUUUCUAAAAAAAAAAGAAAAUAAAGAAAUUUUUUUAAUAAACCGAUUAAAAAAUGACCUUUUUCGUUUCUGACUUUGUUUUCUUUUCUGAAUCUGCUUUGCCCCUUUUUUUGUUGUUUUAUGUUUGAAUCUCCUCUUUUUUAUUCAAGAAAAAAAUCCUCCCUUACAAUACAUUCAGAUUCGGCCUUUAUAGCCUAUUUUUACAUAUUAUUUUUACUAUUUUCUUGCUGUUUGAUGCGUGUUUGCUCUCAUUUGCAGGGAGUGGUUGGCGUAGUUGGUAGUGGCAGAGGAGGUAGCGGCAGAGGAGUGGUUGAUGGUGCAGAGAUUAGAAGGCUAGGGUUUCUUUUUCUGUUUAGUUGUGGGCUUGUUGGGCCUUAGGGUUUUUUGAUUAUUUUGGGCCAUUGGGUCUUGCAAAUGGACUUGGUAAUUUGGACUUUUUUUAUUUAUUGGUUUUAUUUAUUUGGGCCCGGGUAAAUUGGGCCUACUACAUAGCUGAUUUCUUCAACUCUUUCACUUUAGUAGAAUUCUCUUUCACUUCAGCAGAUUUCUUCAUCAACAUUUAUCCCCAAAGUGAACCCUAGAAAUUAGCUUCAAAUCUCCUCAUUUCCUCUCCUACUCUUUCUUCUUUCUCUUCAGGUAUGUUUGUGUCUUUAUUUUGCUUUUUUCUUUAAUAUUUAUUGCCAUCUUUU
This 814-nucleotide long non-coding RNA is filed under the name Gossypium raimondii (Peruvian cotton). Its description in RNAcentral is "long non-coding RNA (GRAI_LNC001220)". The record is from RNAcentral. Lineage: Eukaryota; Viridiplantae; Streptophyta; Magnoliopsida; Malvales; Malvaceae.